RNAcentral lists this unclassified non-coding RNA (271 nucleotides) under Hevea brasiliensis (rubber tree). Lineage: Eukaryota; Viridiplantae; Streptophyta; Magnoliopsida; Malpighiales; Euphorbiaceae. The record is from RNAcentral.
AAAAACUACUGUUUUUGCAGGCAUAUUUAGUCCCAUGGCAAACGUCUCCGUGGCAAAAAGGGCCUUUAUUAGUCCUUCUUGGAAAAGAAGUUCCACAAGUUCCUUGAUAACAGGAAGCAAACCAGAGUGGUGAACAGCAAUCCCUCGCUGAAGCAGUGGCAACAUUAAUUCAAUUGCUGGCAAGUUCCUAUCUUCCUCGCUCAAGCACACCACUGCACUAUGGAAUACCUGCUCCACGGCUUCUUUUUCCUCUUCAGUAUUAAAAUCAAGU